This 537-nucleotide ribosomal RNA is filed under the name Fusarium subglutinans. Its description in RNAcentral is "eukaryotic LSU rRNA". The stretch from base 156 to 309 matches the Rfam family "5.8S ribosomal RNA". The record is from RNAcentral. Lineage: Eukaryota; Fungi; Ascomycota; Sordariomycetes; Hypocreales; Nectriaceae.
GGGGUUUCAGGAAUUACAACCUCCCAAACCCCUGUGACAUACCAAUUGUUGCCUCGGCGGAUCAGCCCGCUCCCGGUAAAACGGGACGGCCCGCCAGAGGACCCCUAAACUCUGUUUCUAUAUGUAACUUCUGAGUAAAACCAUAAAUAAAUCAAAACUUUCAACAACGGAUCUCUUGGUUCUGGCAUCGAUGAAGAACGCAGCAAAAUGCGAUAAGUAAUGUGAAUUGCAGAAUUCAGUGAAUCAUCGAAUCUUUGAACGCACAUUGCGCCCGCCAGUAUUCUGGCGGGCAUGCCUGUUCGAGCGUCAUUUCAACCCUCAAGCCCCCGGGUUUGGUGUUGGGGAUCGGCGAGCCCUUGCGGCAAGCCGGCCCCGAAAUCUAGUGGCGGUCUCGCUGCAGCUUCCAUUGCGUAGUAGUAAAACCCUCGCAACUGGUACGCGGCGCGGCCAAGCCGUUAAACCCCCAACUUCUGAAUGUUGACCUCGGAUCAGGUAGGAAUACCCGCUGAACUUAAGCAUAUCAAUAAGCGGAAGGAA